GCCCUAUCAAGUCUUAAGCACCUAUGGAGGAAAAAGAAAUCCCUUAGAUAACUUAAGCUGUGCUGUGUUCCCACAGGCCCUUCAACAUAGGGAGUCUAGGAAUACACCAAGGGAUUUGAAGGACAGACCGAGCAUCUGGGACCAAUUCUAAGCAAUCUGUCACUUAAGGUAUAAUUCACACCCAUUCUUUAAUACAUCUUGAACAUCCAGUUUGUGUGAAUUGCAUAUAAUUCCCUGGUGCACUAUUAAAAAUCCUUGCAGAGGGAAAACACUAUUGGUGCAGGAAUAAAUUGCAACCACUAGGGGAGAAGUUUUCAACCUUUUUGAAUCCAAGGCUCCCUUGACCAACUACAUUCUUUCUGUGGCACCUGCCUUAAGGGGGUGAACAGGCUGAAACACAACGACUCCCCUUCCUGCCAAAAACGAAUGAAUAAAAUACCAGGUUAACUUAAUUUACAGUACAUCAGACCAUCUAAUGCCCAUGACCCAUCAGCGUGUCUGCUCUCUCUGAGCAUCAGUACGGAAGAGAACACUUCACUCAGAAGUGAAAGUAACUUUUUUUCACAGUACUGAGACUGUGCUGAGACUUCCUGUCUCACACUCCCAGACACUCACAUGAUAUAAACAACCAUUGUGCUGCUCGCUGAGCAGCUCGUGAGAUAAAAAUCCUAACAGACCCAGCUAUUCAAUAUGCAGUAGGUGAAAAAACCAGCCCACCCAGAGGUGGAUCUGCCAAAGAUUCCUACAUGGCCCUGAAGCGACGAAUAAGCCACAUUGAGAGAUGGGGGGAGGGUGGUGCUGCUGGGAAAAGAAGCGGGACGGAGGCAUCCCCCCCAACCCUUAAAAGGACGACCCACCACCACCUCACCCACAAGUGCAUGAUUGAUGCAGAAGCAGCAGAUAUGCUGUCUCCCUAAGUCUGAGCAGGCUGAGGAUACACCCCACUGGCCAGUACUGAGGCAGAAUGGGCAGCUGACUGGGUCUUCCUGUCACCUUGAUUACCAUUCAUUCAGUAGGGAUACCUGAAGAUGGGAAUCCGAAGUAUGGAGUUCUCCACAUUCAUAUACUUCCACACAAGCAGCAAUUUUGAUUUAUUACAAGGAAAAGAAAAACAGAACUAAAUGCACAACCUGUCUAGCCAGUUACAAAUUAAUUGUAUGUAGGCAGAGCCCAGUCAUUGUUACAUUCAAAUAUUCUAUUCUAAAGAAAUCUUAAUUCUCUUAGAGAUAUGCAGAAGGAGUGGAUGUAUCUAGCAUUAUAAAUCUACAGAAACUGAGAGUGCUGAGGAAAGAGUUGGAGCAAAUGCGUGUUGCUAAUUUGCCAUUGUAAGAAACUAUAAUUUAAAUAUCUUUGGGGGGCCUCACUUAUUCCUGCAUAAUAAAUGAAGGUGCAAAAUUGUUCCAUACACCUUACUCUGUCAUGCUUUCCUGAGAUAAGAUUGAGCUGAAAAGGGAAAGACACUACUGUUGGGGGGGGGAGAAGUUCUUAUCUCUGUAGUUCUGAGAACGGGCUUUUCUUAUGUUCUUAUUUAUGGCUCCCAAAUCAGAAAUUUACCCCAAAAUUAGCUUCAUUGUUUGAAGUUGAGUUCCUCCUUAAGGGAGUUGAUAACCUUCAUAUUUGCCAGGGCAAUCUGGUUAAGUGUUAAGUAGGUAGAGGAUGCCAGUUGUUCUCUUAUGUCCUGGAAAAGAUAGAAAAGGUACUAGGGUUAUAGGGCAAUUUCAAUAUUAAACCAUGCCAGCCUGCACUGAGGAUCUGCUUCAUAGAAACAAACCACAUAAAAAGUUAAAAUAAGCACCAAUCUUUUUGACAAAUUGAAUACAUUAAAAUUUCAUAAUUAGGGGUUUAAAACCAUUGUGGCAUUCACCAUGUUGUAUCUGUAUUAUUUUUAAUGUAUUUCACCACAUGUUUACACAGAAUUUAUUACAGAGGGGAAAAGCUCAAAGGGCCAUUUUUUCCUUCCCAAGUGGCUACAGAUGGUUGGAUGUUUACUUAAUUACUUAAGUUUAAGUAAUUAACUUAUUUUUUUACUGAUCCAACCCAAGAAGUGGGCAAAAUAUCCUGAAUAAUAAUAAUAAUAAUAACAAAUAAAUAAAUAAAUUAUUUUUUAUACCCCACCCAUUUGGCUGGGUUUCCCCAAUAUCAAAUAUUGAUUAUAUCCUCCCUUGUUUUUCAGUAACUUAGGCUUUGAGCUGACUCAUAAUUAAAUAUUCCCAAGUGUAUAUAUACUGGUGAUUCAAAGUAGUCCCAGCAGAUUGUUGCUGCAAUCAAGUCAAUACAGCACUGCCAAAUAUAAUUUGCUUUUAAUUGGUGAUGCAUGCACCUCAUUAAUUGGUUUGCCAGGAUGUCACAUCACUCCUCCCAUUUCCUCCACAUAAAAUCCUGAGCGAACUACUUUUCCCGCUUCUUACAUCAAAACAGGUGUCCUGGACAAGCUUCUCUGUGUGAAAGAAACAAGCAGAAGGUUCAAGAUGUUUGGGUUAUUCCUUUAGAGAAGCUGAGUACAGCUGGCUUAAACUGAUUCUGUUAUCUCAUGCUGACUAUAAAAAUAGGCCAGAAGAAGCCUGGGUUUCACUUUCUCUUUCUAUCGCUUUUCAUUCUGGUGUGGUGUUCUGUACAUAGUAUGCUUAGUAUUAAAGUUUACACUUGUAAGUUAUUGCAAGUUUAAGUUAAGUCUGC
RNAcentral lists this long non-coding RNA (2676 nucleotides) under Podarcis lilfordi (Lilford's wall lizard). Lineage: Eukaryota; Metazoa; Chordata; Lepidosauria; Squamata; Lacertidae. The record is from RNAcentral.